RNAcentral lists this long non-coding RNA (703 nucleotides) under Apis dorsata (giant honeybee). RNAcentral's name for it is "uncharacterized LOC116186123, transcript variant X2". The record is from RNAcentral. Lineage: Eukaryota; Metazoa; Arthropoda; Insecta; Hymenoptera; Apidae.
GCAGGGGCUGAGGAAGGAAUGGUCGGGCUGGGGCUACAGAGAGGGGUACAGGGAGGGAGGAAGGGCCACGCAGCAAGGAGAAUAAAACUGAACUGUCUUCCUGUCGUCUGGAGAGAGGUACGAUUGCUCUUUGCGAAUACGACACGCCGGCUUUUGCAUGGUAUCGCCCAUUUGAAAGCGUUGUCCGGCUUGGCGUCCGUUUCGUUUGCGUUAUUAUGUAAUGUUACGUGCGAAUAGCGUGUAUAUGGCACGCCGGUAAAAGGCUGUUGCACUAUUAAAGAAAAUUGCCCUCUCGCGGUGGUGAAUAGGAAGCGUCAUACAUUCUUCGAUACGGUCAUCGAUCUGCUAUUCGAUCUAAGAACGUAAACUCUGCUAUGUAUAGUACUUUAGAAAUUUUUUAUAUAUUAAUAUUAAAAGAAUAGUAUAAAUUGAAGAGAAAAAAACAGGAAGGAGAGGAUGAAGAAGAGAAAGGAAGAAAUAAAAGAGGAAAGAAGGUCCACGACCGGAUCUUAUAAUUACGCUAAUUAGGCAGUAACGUGUAAAAAGAGCGGCGCGAGUAUUUAUCACAAGGUAUCGUGGAAGGUAUACGGAGGUCGGCAAAGGAGGACGUCGUACGACAGAAUACGACAGGAAAGGCUAUAAUACAAUUUUGCCGCAAGCAUCAGAAGUAACAGCAGCAGCCACGGCGGUAAGCAAGCGAACA